GUAGGUGGCAAGCGUUGUCCGGAAUUAUUGGGCGUAAAGCGCGCGCAGGUGGUUCUCUAAGUCUGAUGUGAAAGCCCCCGGCUCAACCGGGGAGGGUCAUUGGAAACUGGGGAACUUGAGUGCAGGAGAGGAAAGUGGAAUUCCACGUGUAGCGGUGAAAUGCGUAGAUAUGUGGAGGAACACCAGUGGCGAAGGCGACUUUCUGGCCUGUAACUGACACUGAGGCGCGAAAGCGUGGGGAGCAAACAGGGAUUAGAUACCCUGGUAGUCCACGCCGUAAACGAUGAGUGCUAAGUGUUGGGGGGGUUUCCCGCCCCGUCAGUGCUGCAGCUAACGCAUUAAGCACUCCGCCUGGGGAGUACGGUCGCAAGACUG
This 375-nucleotide ribosomal RNA is filed under the name uncultured organism. RNAcentral describes it as "partial 16S ribosomal RNA". It matches the Rfam family "Bacterial small subunit ribosomal RNA", at positions 527 to 896 of the family's 1533-position model. The record is from RNAcentral.